GCCAGUGUGGUGCAGUGGUUUGAGUAUUGAACUAGGACUGCAGACCAGGGUUUGAAUCCCUGCUCAGUAA
RNAcentral lists this transfer RNA (70 nucleotides) under Phrynosoma platyrhinos (Desert horned lizard). RNAcentral's name for it is "tRNA-OTHER". Lineage: Eukaryota; Metazoa; Chordata; Lepidosauria; Squamata; Phrynosomatidae. The record is from RNAcentral.